RNAcentral lists this long non-coding RNA (540 nucleotides) under Bos indicus x Bos taurus (hybrid cattle). Its description in RNAcentral is "lncRNA (ENSBIXG00000028967.1)". The record is from RNAcentral. Lineage: Eukaryota; Metazoa; Chordata; Mammalia; Artiodactyla; Bovidae.
UAGAAGAAUUAAUCUACAUGGCUUCUAAAAUCUUUUCAGCUCUGACACUUGAGGAGUCUAACAAAGAAGAUGCUAUAUCAAGAGGAAGAGAAGAAAGAUGGACCACCACACACAGAGCUGCCAAGGAUCCUGCACAUAUGAUAUUAUCAUGGGGAAUUUUCCCCUUGUCUGCCCAGAUGCAAAAAUGUUGUUGGAGUGAGAGACUGGGAAACUUGCCUGGUAUGAAUGGAAAAUUAAGCGUCACCAGCACUUGAGGAAAUUCAACAGCUCUAAAGGAAAGUAUUAACAACAACGACCACAAAAUGAUGAACAAACUGAAAAGUGACCCCAGACAGCUAAAAGAACAACAAAAAAAAAUCGGAAAAAUUCUAAAUAACAUCAUCCUUAGAAAGAUGCACAAAGAUAUGGUAUGAAGCUGCUGUGGAAAAAAGUGCAGACAAUUGCUAUGAUAAAGGAAAACUAACAAACAAAGUGGAAAUUUCAAAAUAUGAUAGCAAAACUAAGUAAAGCAAUAGAAUAAAUAAUAGGAAGGGUAGGGCA